RNAcentral lists this ribosomal RNA (332 nucleotides) under uncultured bacterium. RNAcentral's name for it is "bacterial SSU rRNA". It matches the Rfam family "Bacterial small subunit ribosomal RNA", at positions 568 to 898 of the family's 1533-position model. The record is from RNAcentral.
CGCGUAGGCGGGUUAUUAAGUUGUGGGUGAAAUCCCGAGGCUCAACCUCGGAGCUGCCUGCAAAACUGGUGACCUGGAGGUAUGGAGAGGGAAGUGGAAUUCCAGGUGUAGCGGUGAAAUGCGUAGAUAUCUGGAGGAACACCCGUGGCGAAGGCGGCUUCCUGGCCAUAUCCUGACGCUGAGGUGCGAAAGCUAGGGGAGCGAACGGGAUUAGAUACCCCGGUAGUCCUAGCCGUAAACGAUGGAUACUAGGUGUUAGAGGUAUCGACCCCUCUAGUGCCGGAGCUAACGCAUUAAGUAUCCCGCCUGGGGAGUACGACCGCAAGGUUGAA